RNAcentral lists this long non-coding RNA (297 nucleotides) under Carica papaya (papaya). RNAcentral's name for it is "long non-coding RNA (CPAP_LNC003541)". The record is from RNAcentral. Lineage: Eukaryota; Viridiplantae; Streptophyta; Magnoliopsida; Brassicales; Caricaceae.
GUCCUCUUUCAUUACAUAGAGGAAGUUAGCUUCAACAAUUAGUUUACGAAUAUCAUUACUCAAAGCAAGCUUCAGACUCUAGAAGACAUCAUAGACUUCAGCUUUUAUCGCAUGGCUUAUAUCCAAGUUACUCAUGAAAUCACUCACUUAAUAACUUAUAUUGUCUCUAAUAAGAUCCUCAACAAUAGUAGGGUCAAGACUGCCACGAGUAUAACCAUCUGUAUUAAGCUUGAACCAUUUACCUUCAGCCAACCUAUGGGGACCUGGAGGGGUCCUCCAUCACUUGUUGAUUGUGGG